GAUGAACGCUGGCGGCGUGCCUAAUACAUGCAAGUCGAGCGAACGGACGAGAAUCUUUGUGCUCUGAUGUUAGCGGCGGACGGGUGAGUAACGCGUAGAUAACCUACCUAUAAGACUUGAGUAACUUCGGGAAACCGUAACUAAGACCAUAUAAUAUUUUCAACCGCAUGGUUCAGAAGUGAAAUACUGUCUUUCUAUCACUUAUAGAUGUAUCCGCGCGGCAUUGGCUAGUUGGUAAGGUAACGGAUUACCAAGGCAACGAUGCAUAGCCGACCUGAGCGGGUGAUAGGCCACCUGAGAACGGAGACACGGACCAGACUACUAGGGGAGGGAGCAGUCGGGAAUCGGACGCAAUAGGCGAAAGCCUGACGCAGCAACGGCGAGUGAGUGAUGAAGGCCUCCGGAUCGGAAAAACCGGUUAUUAGGGAAGAACAUAUGUGUAAGUAAAUGUGCACAGAUUGACGGUACCUAAUGAGAAAGCCACGGCUAACUACGUG
This 497-nucleotide ribosomal RNA is filed under the name uncultured bacterium. RNAcentral describes it as "partial 16S ribosomal RNA". It matches the Rfam family "Bacterial small subunit ribosomal RNA", at positions 28 to 507 of the family's 1533-position model. The record is from RNAcentral.